Molecule: RNA transcript, 1480 nt
Organism: Drosophila grimshawi
Lineage: Eukaryota; Metazoa; Arthropoda; Insecta; Diptera; Drosophilidae
Exons: 8
Source: RefSeq, a predicted model, not a curated record
UUAACUUUGGUGGCAGCUGCAAGAUGAUCUAUUUGCAAUAUUGUUGCUUCUGCAUCGAUUUGCGCCUUGGCACCUAUAUUGUAGCCGGCAGCGAUAUAUUGAUGGAUUUACUAUUCGGUAUUUUCAUAGCAAUAUUUGGCGAGUCGGGCAUACCCGAUCUGGGCCACAAGCUGUUCUGCGUAUUUAUGCUGGUGCAUCUGGUAAGCACCAUAUUGUUAUUGUAUGGCGCUUUGAAGCUACGUCCGGGCUUAAUGCUGCCCUAUAUAAUAGUCACAUGUAUCAAGGUGCUGGCAAUGGUUAUACUACUCAUAGCAGACAUAAUACUACUUAUCUGGAUACCAGUUAUAGUGAUCUAUGUGGUUAUGUUUUUUAUUGGUCUGUAUUAUUGGCUGGUCGUUUAUUCGUUUUAUGCAGCCCUGGGCGGCGAUCUGUUCAUCUAAAGAGGAGCGUUUGCAGCAUUUCAAAUUCUAAUCUAAAAUUUUAAGUAAUCCAAAAAAGCCGGGAAGUAACAAUGGUCCGUGUGAAAAAUUGUUGCUUUUAUCUAAGCUUGCGGCGUGGUUGUUUUGUUAUUGCCGUCAUCGAUAUGAUUUUUAAUAUUAUUCUUGUCGCGUUUGCUCCUGAACAAUUCGCACAAACUGAACAGGCAAUGGCAAUUUGCCACUGCAUCGGAUGUGUCAUGCUGCUGAUCGGGGCAUUCUUUCAAUCAACGGUACUCCUACUAUUCUAUUUAAUCACGUGUUUCGUCAACACCACCAUCGAUAUCGGUGUCAUAAUUAUGUCUGCCCUGGACUAUGGGCCGUCUAGCUUAUAUGUGAUUAUCUUGGGAGUCGCCAUCGUAUGCUGGAGCUCUUAUACAUGGCUCGUUGUAUAUUCGUAUUAUCGUCUAAUUAACUCUCGAGAUGACGAGACAACUUAUUAAUGAUCGAUUUAAGCUUAACGUAGAAUCUGUGAUAUUUCAUUUAUUUUCUCAUCUGCGUACGUCUCAUGCGAGAACAGAUAAAAUAUCAUUCAUUUUAUGACAAAUAAAUGGAUACAUAUAACUUGGCCACCCCUAUAAAGAAAAUAGAACGAUGAACCACUUGUUCAGUUGGGUAAUGAAAAUGCUUCGCAGAAGACUUAAUUGGUGUCUUUAUGGACCAACUUUCUUACAUCACGCCUAAGACAUAACCCACUUUAGUAUAUACUUGUGUGCUCCUUGAGACUGUUGUUAAUCGAUUCAUAAUUCAAAAAAUAAUGGCAUACCAUGGCAUCAGUCUCGAAAUUUCCCGACCUCUGAGCUCCCUGGCAAGUCUGCACAAUUAGUAUUAUCUUGACCGCAGCUGUAUAUGUGAGAAAAAUGACGCUUCCACUGAAGUCUUAUCAAUGACGCUCAAUACUCAAUACUUUGAUACUGAAGGUUUCGGUCGACUCUCUCUUGUUGUUAUUAUCUUGACGAUAUUUAAAAAAAAAGUCUCUAUCAUUAAAAAAAACGUUUAACAAA